This 250-nucleotide ribosomal RNA is filed under the name uncultured Actinomycetes bacterium. Its description in RNAcentral is "uncultured actinobacterium partial 16S ribosomal RNA". It matches the Rfam family "Bacterial small subunit ribosomal RNA", at positions 524 to 773 of the family's 1533-position model. The record is from RNAcentral. Lineage: Bacteria; Bacillati; Actinomycetota; Actinomycetes.
UACGUAGGGCGCAAGCGUUGUCCGGAAUUAUUGGGCGUAAAGAGCUCGUAGGCGGCUUGUCACGUCGGGUGUGAAAGCCCGGGGCUUAACCCCGGGUCUGCAUUCGAUACGGGCUAGCUAGAGUGUGGUAGGGGAGAUCGGAAUUCCUGGUGUAGCGGUGAAAUGCGCAGAUAUCAGGAGGAACACCGGUGGCGAAGGCGGAUCUCUGGGCCAUUACUGACGCUGAGGAGCGAAAGCGUGGGGAGCGAAC